RNAcentral lists this unclassified non-coding RNA (1605 nucleotides) under Hevea brasiliensis (rubber tree). Lineage: Eukaryota; Viridiplantae; Streptophyta; Magnoliopsida; Malpighiales; Euphorbiaceae. The record is from RNAcentral.
AUAAAUACCUUGUAUCUCAUUCAACAAAAUACAUAAAAUAUUCUCUACACAUAUCUAUAUAUGUGUUUGGAUUGAUGGGUAGGUGUGAGAUCUCUGUUUCUUUUUUCUUUUUAACUUUUUCGUUGGAAAAUUGCUGUCUAGUAACGUCGGUUGUCUCCAACAACUAUCCAACAUGCGCAUGCCGUUCCACGCCUCAACAGAAUCCUAUUGACCUACCCUAGAGUCGGUUUCACCAGAAUUUGCUUCAAGUGAAACCACAAAGUUAAAGUUACAGAAACUUGAGGUAUUUCUUUAGAUUUUAGCUUGUUUCACUUCAUUCUAAACAAGGAAGAAAAAGCCUUUUCAACUUUUAAUUUUCGACUAUCUUUCAGCUUCUAUUGAAAAGAAAUGGAAGAUUGUAAAGAGAAUGUUGGGUUGAAAUUAAUGGAAGAUUGUAAAAAAUAUGCUGGGUUGAAAAGUUAAUAAAAAAGGGGAUUUGAUGCUUUAUUGUAUCCGUUAUUAUGAUAAUUUCUAGCUUGCACUGUAUCUUCAGUUUUGGUCUAAUUAGAUUAUUAAAGUUAAUGAAGUUAGGUUUUUUGCAAUAUACUUGUAUUUCCAAUUUCGGUUUUAUUUGAUGAUUGAAGUUUUGCUGCAUGUGUAUAUGUUAAUUUUAGUAUAAGCAAAUUUGGAUGAGAUUUUGUGGGUAGGGGACCGGUAUUGGUUGUUGCGAUGGAAGUGAUAAGGAUGGAAUGAGAUAAGGAUUGUUGACUUCUUUAUACAAGUUAUAGUUUAUUUGUUUAAUCUUAUGUAGUUAGUGGCAAUCCUAACUUAAAAUGUACAAUAAAAAUUGAAACUUUCCCAGAGAAAGAUGAUUAACUGUUUCUGAGGUUAAUUUCCCCGUUCAUCAAGGUCUUAUUUGCAUGUCAAUACUGCUACGAACUCAUACCGCUUGUUAUAUUUCAGGAGAGUUAAGGUGAUCAAUUUGCUGUUACUAUAAUGGAAUCCAAAUUUUUUCGGUUUCUUAAGAUAGUGGGUGUUGGAUACAAAGCAAGGGCUGAAGCAGAAGGACGCCUCUUAUUUCUCAAAUUGGGAUACAGUCAUGAGGUUGAACUCACAGUUCCUCUCGCUGUUCGUGUUUUCUGCUUCAAGAACAAUGUAGUUUGUUGCACUGGAAUUGACAAGCAAAGAGUGCAUCAGUUUGCUGCUUCUGUUCGUAGUUGCAAACCUCCUGAAGUUUACAAAGGUAAGGGUAUCAUGUACAUCGAUGAAGUGAUCAAGAAGAAACAAGGAAAGAAAUCAAAAUGAUGGGGGCAAUUCUGCACGAUGCCGAUAGCAAAGUGUUUUGCCUAAUUCCAUGCGUUGGACUUACAAUGUCUUGUUUUGUCAAAAAAGUUCAAUUUCUGGGAUUCAAACAUUGGAAUUUUGUGAUUUAGAAGGCAUUUAAAUUAGCAAUAAGUUUUUGCAAUAGUGUUUUGGUUGUUCUAUGUGAGAUUUUUUGCUUUUUGUUCAAGACCUUUUUAUCAUUACAUGCUAGAUAAAUAAUGUUUCCUGAUAUAAAAUCACUUAAGUUGUGAUCAGUGUUUCACAUGCUGAUGAAUGUUGUUGGAAAAGAAAAGCAGAAUGUCA